RNAcentral lists this transfer RNA (67 nucleotides) under Priassus spiniger. Its description in RNAcentral is "tRNA-His". Lineage: Eukaryota; Metazoa; Arthropoda; Insecta; Hemiptera; Pentatomidae. The record is from RNAcentral.
AUUUAUAAUAGUUUAAUAAAGAAUAAUAAUUUGUGGUAUUAUAGGUGAAAAGAAAUUUCUUUAAAUC